Copidosoma floridanum is the source of this 89-nucleotide small nucleolar RNA. The record is from RefSeq and is a predicted model, not a curated record. Lineage: Eukaryota; Metazoa; Arthropoda; Insecta; Hymenoptera; Encyrtidae.
AUGAUUAUACUUUACAGGUCCAUUUUUGUAGUAUAUCUUAACAGACUCUUUACCUAAAGUAGGAGUCGAUGAAACCACGAUGAUGAGGU